Molecule: long non-coding RNA, 368 nt
Organism: Homo sapiens (human)
Lineage: Eukaryota; Metazoa; Chordata; Mammalia; Primates; Hominidae
Exons: 2
Source: RefSeq, a predicted model, not a curated record
CUCAGAAACCCUGUGAUGCAAUACUUUAUGAUGUCAAUGUAAAGGAAACUGAAAAGAGUGUUGAAAGACAAUGGUCAUGGAACUGAACAGAUGAGCCUCUGAUUCCUGUUCUGCCACUGAUAAACCCUAUGGUCUUUGUCAUUUACUCCCCUUCCUGGGCCUCCCUAGGGAGUAAUGAGGCUAGAAGAAAUGAUACCUGGGAAGGGAGUAUACAGCCAUAUGAGAAUCACUGUUAUAGGUGAUGAGGCUCCAUGAGAGGGCAUUAACUUCUAAAAGCAUGAGAAACCAUCAUCUUCUUCUGCAAUGAGAGAAUCAAUGUGCCUCAUGAAGUUACAUACCAUGAUGAAAUAAACCAUAAUCCAUCCAAA